This 70-nucleotide small RNA is filed under the name Mycoplasma leachii PG50. Its description in RNAcentral is "putative Small nucleolar RNA U2-30". Lineage: Bacteria; Bacillati; Mycoplasmatota; Mollicutes; Mycoplasmatales; Mycoplasmataceae. The record is from RNAcentral.
UAGAAUUAAAAAAAUAGUUAAAGUAUUAACUAUUAAAAGUAUGAAAUUAGCUAAACUAAAGCUCAUAAAA